RNAcentral lists this ribosomal RNA (423 nucleotides) under uncultured archaeon. Its description in RNAcentral is "bacterial SSU rRNA". It matches the Rfam family "Archaeal small subunit ribosomal RNA", at positions 325 to 747 of the family's 1478-position model. The record is from RNAcentral.
ACGGGGCGCAGCAGGCGCGAAACCUUUACACUGCACGCCAGUGCGAUAAGGGGAUCCCGAGUGCACAGGCAUAGAGCCUGUGCUUUUCUGAACCGUAGGGAGGUUCAGGAACAAGAGCUGGGCAAGACCGGUGCCAGCCGCCGCGGUAAUACCGGCAGCUCGAGUGAUGGCCGAUCUUAUUGGGCCUAAAGCGUCCGUAGCUGGCCUUGCAAGUCCGUCGGGAAAUCCACCCGCUCAACGGGUGGGCGUCCGGCGGAAACUGUGAGGCUUGGGACCGGGAGGCUUGAAGGGUACGUCCGGGGUAGGAGUGAAAUCCUGUAAUCCUGGACGGACCGCCGAUGGGGAAACCACUUCAAGAGAACGGAUCCGACAGUGAGGAACGAAAGCUAGGGUCUCGAACCGGAUUAGAUACCCCGGUAGUCC